Molecule: ribosomal RNA, 109 nt
Filed under: Salvator merianae (Argentine black and white tegu)
Lineage: Eukaryota; Metazoa; Chordata; Lepidosauria; Squamata; Teiidae
Source: RNAcentral
GCCUACGGCCAUACCACCCUGAACACGCCUGAUCUCGGAAGCUAAGCAGGGUCGGGCCUGGUUAGUACUUGGAUGGGCGGCCGCCUGGGAAUACCGGGUGCUGUAGGCU